UACAGAGGGUGCAAGCGUUAAUCGGAAUUACUGGGCGUAAAGCGUGCGCAGACGGUUGCGUAAGUCAGAUGUGAAAGCCCCGGGCUCAACCUGGGAAUUGCAUUUGAGACUGCGUAGCUAGGGUGCGGAAGAGGGAAGCGGAAUUUCCGGUGUAGCGGUGAAAUGCGUAGAUAUCGGGAAGAACACCCGUGGCGAAGGCGGCUCUCUGGGACGGUACUGACGCUGAGACGCGAAAGCGUGGGGAGCGAACAGG
RNAcentral lists this ribosomal RNA (253 nucleotides) under uncultured bacterium. RNAcentral describes it as "partial 16S ribosomal RNA". It matches the Rfam family "Bacterial small subunit ribosomal RNA", at positions 524 to 776 of the family's 1533-position model. The record is from RNAcentral.